This is a long non-coding RNA of Mus musculus (house mouse), 609 nucleotides long. RefSeq annotates it as RIKEN cDNA 1700091J24 gene. Lineage: Eukaryota; Metazoa; Chordata; Mammalia; Rodentia; Muridae. The record is from RefSeq and is a predicted model, not a curated record. The transcript is spliced from 2 exons.
GGUUAAGGGCUUGUUCUGUGUUCUGCUCUUACAGAGGACCCGAAUUCAGUUCCCAUCGGCUCACAACAGCCGAUAACUGCAGCUCCUACAGCCUCUUCUGGACCUGGUGGGCACUUGCACUGUGGUUAUUCGGCUGUUCAGCGGAAGAUUAGAUUCUCCAGCCUGGCUUUGGUGUGAUGCAGGUCUUCCUGCCUGUGUGGCAAGCACUUUACCAAGUAAGCGCCUCCCAGCCCAUGGUGAUUAGUCCUGACUGCCAUCCUGGUAGCAUGGAGCCAAGUCUAGAUUGUGACGUUCACUUUGGGCGUGUCUGUGAGGGCGUGUCCAGAAAAACAGUUAGCCAGUGAGGAGAGCCAUCCCGAAUCCCAUCCCAUUGGCUGAGGGUCCAAAAGGAAUAAGUGAGAAAAACCUAGCGAGGGCUUGUCUCUCUCCUCCCUGUCAUGGCAUGGGCUAUCCUGCUCCAUCUCUCCCCACUCCACCCCCAGCACCUUGAUGGACAGAACUUGUGAAGCCUCAGGCUGACGGCGGUCCUCCGUCUGUUUAUCCCAGUCAUCUGAUCACAGCGGCAAGCGAGAAGCACAACACAGCCUCUGAUAAAGAAGUCUCAGCUCA